RNAcentral lists this ribosomal RNA (420 nucleotides) under Fusobacteriota bacterium. RNAcentral's name for it is "Fusobacteria bacterium partial 16S ribosomal RNA". It matches the Rfam family "Bacterial small subunit ribosomal RNA", at positions 355 to 776 of the family's 1533-position model. Lineage: Bacteria; Fusobacteriati; Fusobacteriota. The record is from RNAcentral.
UGGGGGAUAUUGCACAAUGGGCGAAAGCCUGAUGCAGCGACACCGCGCGGGGGAUGAAGGCCUUCGGGUUGUAAACUUCUUUUGCUCUGAACAAGGCAUGCCUUUGGGGUGUGUUGAGUGUAGGGGUUGAUUAGCGCCGGCUAACUACGUGCCAGUAGCCGCGGUAAUACGUAGGGCGCGAGCGUUGCCCGGAAUUAUUGGGCGUAAAGGGCUUGUAGGUGGCUGGUUGCGUCUGUCGUGAAAGCUCAUGGCUUAACUGUGGGUUUGCGGUGGGUACGGGCUGGCUUGAGUGCAGUAGGGGAGGCUGGAAUUCCUGGUGUAGCGGUGGAAUGCGCAGAUAUCAGGAGGAAUACCGGUGGCGAAGGCGGGUCUCUGGGCUGUUACUGACGCUGAGGAGCGAGAGCGUGGGGAGCGAACAGG